GUAGGGUGCGAGUGGUAAUCGGAAUUACUGGGUGUAAAGCGUGUGCAGGCCCUUUGUUGUGUCGGCGGUGAAAUCCCCGGUCUCCACCUGGGAAUGGCCGUUAACACUGGGGAAAGGAUCUGUAGCAGGGGGGGGGAGAAUUCCGCGUGUAGCAGUAAAAUGCGUAGAUAUGGGGAGGCACACCGAUGGAGAAGGCAGCCCCCUGGGCUGACACUGACGGUCAGGCAAGAAAGCGUGGGGAGCAAACAGGAUUAGAUACCCUGGUUGUCCACGCCCUAAAAGAUGUGGACUGGGUGUGGGGGAUGCGAUUUCCCAGUACCGUAGCUAACGCGUGAAGUACCCCGCCUGGGGAGUACGGCCGCAAGGCUA
This 369-nucleotide ribosomal RNA is filed under the name uncultured bacterium. RNAcentral's name for it is "bacterial SSU rRNA". It matches the Rfam family "Bacterial small subunit ribosomal RNA", at positions 527 to 896 of the family's 1533-position model. The record is from RNAcentral.